RNAcentral lists this ribosomal RNA (494 nucleotides) under uncultured eubacterium WR1118. RNAcentral's name for it is "bacterial SSU rRNA". It matches the Rfam family "Bacterial small subunit ribosomal RNA", at positions 9 to 527 of the family's 1533-position model. The record is from RNAcentral.
GAGUUUGAUCAUGGCUCAGAAUGAACGUUGGCGGCGUGGAUUAGGCAUGCAAGUCGGACGGGCCGCAAGGCCAGUGGCGCAAGGGUGAGUAAGGCGACGGUGACCAACCCCGCGGGUGGGCAUAGCCGAGGGAAACUUCGAGUAAUUCCCAGCGACGUGGCGUCCCGGCAUCGGGAGGCCACCAAAGAUUUAUCGCCGCGGGACGGGCCGUUGUGGUAUUAGGUGGUUGGCGGGGUGACGGCCCACCAAGCCUGCGAUGCCUACCGGGCGUGCGAGCGUGGCCCGGCACACUGGGACUGAGACACUGCCCAGACUCCUACGGGAGGCUGCAGUCGAGAAUCUUCGGCAAUGGGCGCAAGCCUGACCGAGCGACGCCGCGUGGAGGACGAAGGCCUUCGGGUUGUAAACUCCUGUCGAGGGGGAGGAAGGCGCAAGCUUGACCGAUCCCUGGAGGAAGCACGGGCUAAGUUCGUGCCAGCAGCCGCGGUAAUACG